GGACUUAAUUUAUAAGUAAAGCUUCGGACAAUCCACUACACAAAUUGGCGUCACGAACAGGAUGGUUUAGAAGCUACAGGUCGACAGCCGCUCCCGCUCUCUCUGUCAGGCAGACAGUGUGUUGCACGCGCGCAUCACAAGAUUCGGUGACCACAGGUG
Entelurus aequoreus (snake pipefish) is the source of this 159-nucleotide long non-coding RNA. RefSeq lists it as uncharacterized. NCBI's taxonomy places the organism in Eukaryota, Metazoa, Chordata, Actinopteri, Syngnathiformes, Syngnathidae. The transcript is spliced from 3 exons. The record is from RefSeq and is a predicted model, not a curated record.